Molecule: long non-coding RNA, 1319 nt
Organism: Mus musculus (house mouse)
Lineage: Eukaryota; Metazoa; Chordata; Mammalia; Rodentia; Muridae
Product: predicted gene, 36518
Exons: 5
Source: RefSeq, a predicted model, not a curated record
CAGGGCUAAGCUCUGGGAAAGAAGCAAGCCUGUGAGGGGCAGGCUCAGUUCCCACAGUUCCUGCACAGGGGAGCCAUUGUCUCCUGGAAGAGACAUGUCACACCCUUGGGUCAACAGCCAAAUGUGAAGGUCACUUGGAAAGGAGAGGGUAGAGCUGAGAGAGAGAAGGGGUGUGUGUGAGGGGAUCACCUCAGAGAGAAAGAGCCCGUGUGGUCAUAUGGUGUUUGGUUCCUCUGCUGCAGAUAUUUACUGUGUGAGAUUCUGCUGGGAUGAGGACGGCUGCAGCUGGGAACUCAGCUCCUCCCCUCCUGGACCAGGGCUGCAGGGAGAGACAAUGGACAGACACCUCACUGAGGGGGAGCACAGGGGAAGAGUCCAGGGCGCUCUGAAUGGUUCCUGGGAUGACCAGCCUGAAGCACCAAGCCCAGCUCGGUGUGUACGUAGGACACAAGGUUGCACUGCAUGACCCAGUCUGACUUCAAACUCUGAAUCCUGAGGUCCUCUGUGAACCCUGAGCACUGGGCUUGCAGGGGUGUCCCAUGACAUCACCUACAUCUUUCUACCAAGAAUAGACACUGGGGGGCUGGAAGGACGAUGGCUCAGCGGUUAACAGCACUGACUGCUCUUCUGGUGUGUCUGAAUAUAGCUAUGGUGUGUAAGUGUACUCAUAUAAAUAAAAAUAAGUAAAUCUUUAAAAAAAAUAGACACAGGGGACCUACUAGGAGGACCUUACAAGUGUCUUCCAUGCUUGAGGGUGGCCAGCUAGAUGACAGGGAAAGCAUAUGGGUGAAUGUGAAUAGAUCUGCGUUAUAUACAAAGUAUAUACUAGGACUGAGGUCAUAGCUCGCCAGUAGCAGGCCUGUCUAGCGUUUCAUUCCCUGAACUAUAAUACAACAGCAACAACAAUACUUAGAAGACAUGGUCUAUAGGCUGAACGGUUGAUGGUGGGUGAGGCAGGUGGGUAGUCAGAGGACAUUACAGUUGCCUGGCAUGGCAGUGGAAAUCAGACAGGACUUAUGGAGCCCCUUCAGUUUCAAGGAACUGUUCUAGGCUUUCUGGGAGCAAAUGCUGCUUAUCUGCCUUAGGAAAGCUGAUUAACCUCUCUGUGCUUUGGUGGAACGCCCAAGAAUACCCCGGAGGACUGCUGUGAGGGUUAACAUGUGCAGGAAGCUGGAUGUGAGGACUGGGAGAUCAGUUCUGAGGUGAGAGACUGAUAGUCACGGCUGGUGCUCAGGCCUGCUUCUUAGUGUCACCAGGGCUCCUAUUUCCUUACUGGUCUUUUCCUCCCCUUCCUCUUCCUCUUCUUCUUUUGGAGACAG